Plectropomus leopardus (leopard coralgrouper) is the source of this 290-nucleotide non-coding RNA. The record is from RefSeq and is a predicted model, not a curated record. Lineage: Eukaryota; Metazoa; Chordata; Actinopteri; Perciformes; Serranidae.
UAAAAUUAAGGAGGUUUGCUAAUUCUAUGAUUUACCCAUAUAUAUCUAUUUUUUUUUAAUUCUUCUGAUCAUAUUGUGAGGAGCGACUUUGUCAUUGUGUAUUUUGCGCUCGUUUGGUGACGGAUUUCUUCUUGAAGGCCUCUCUAUCUGUUCUUUUUUUUUCAGAACACAGAGAAUAUUUUCCAAACCCUUGCCUUUCACUCCCUCCGAUUACAGACCUGAGCGCUCCUAAGAAGUGUCGAGCGCGCUUUGGGCUCGAUCAACAGAAUAACUGGUGUGGCCCGUGCAGG